Molecule: non-coding RNA, 124 nt
Organism: Hordeum vulgare subsp. vulgare (domesticated barley)
Lineage: Eukaryota; Viridiplantae; Streptophyta; Magnoliopsida; Poales; Poaceae
Source: Rfam
GAUAUACUCCCUCCGUCCGCAGUUAUUUGUCGCAAAAAUGGAUAAAAAUGAAUGUAUUUAGAACUAAAAUACAUCUAGAUACAUCCAUUUCUCGACAAGUAUUUUCGAACCGAGGAAGUACAUC